RNAcentral lists this ribosomal RNA (433 nucleotides) under uncultured bacterium. RNAcentral's name for it is "partial 16S ribosomal RNA". It matches the Rfam family "Bacterial small subunit ribosomal RNA", at positions 29 to 507 of the family's 1533-position model. The record is from RNAcentral.
AACGAACGCUGGCGGCAGGCCUAACACAUGCAAGUCGAGCGAGGACUUCGGUCCUAGCGGCGGACGGGUGAGUAACGCGUGGAAACGUGCCCUUUGCUUCGGAAUAGCCCUGGGAAACUGGGAGUAAUACCGGAUGAGCCCUUUGGGGGAAAGAUUUAUCGGCGAAGGAUCGGCCCGCGUUGGAUUAGGUAGUUGGUGGGGUAAUGGCCUACCAAGCCGACGAUCCAUAGCUGGUUUGAGAGGAUGAUCAGCCACACUGGGACUGAGACACGGCCCAGACUCCUACGGGAGGCAGCAGUGGGGAAUCUUAGACAAUGGGGGAAACCCUGAUCUAGCCAUGCCGCGUGAGCGAUGAAGGCCUUAGGGUUGUAAAGCUCUUUCAGCUGGGAAGAUAAUGACGGUACCAGCAGAAGAAGCCCCGGCUAACUCCGUG